UGGCUCAGUGGUAGAGUGCUUGCCUUGCAUGCAUGAGGCCCUGGGUUCUAUUCCUGG
Molecule: transfer RNA, 57 nt
Filed under: Dipodomys ordii (Ord's kangaroo rat)
Lineage: Eukaryota; Metazoa; Chordata; Mammalia; Rodentia; Heteromyidae
Rfam family: tRNA
About the family: Transfer RNA (tRNA) molecules are approximately 80 nucleotides in length. Their secondary structure includes four short double-helical elements and three loops (D, anti-codon, and T loops).
Source: Rfam by way of RNAcentral